Molecule: ribosomal RNA, 717 nt
Filed under: uncultured bacterium
Lineage: Bacteria
Description: bacterial SSU rRNA
Rfam family: Bacterial small subunit ribosomal RNA
Source: RNAcentral
ACGGGUGAGUAACGCGUAGGUAACCUGCCUGGUAGCGGGGGAUAACUAUUGGAAACGAUAGCUAAUACCGCAUAACAUUGACUAUUGCAUGAUAGUCAAUUGAAAGGUGCAAUUGCAUCACUACCAGAUGGACCUGCGUUGUAUUAGCUAGUUGGUGGGGUAACGGCUCACCAAGGCGACGAUACAUAGCCGACCUGAGAGGGUGAUCGGCCACACUGGGACUGAGACACGGCCCAGACUCCUACGGGAGGCAGCAGUAGGGAAUCUUCCGCAAUGGGCGAAAGCCUGACGGAGCAACGCCGCGUGAGUGAAGAAGGAUUUCGGUUCGUAAAGCUCUGUUGUUAGGGAAGAAUGAUUGUAUAGUAACUAUAUACAGUAGAGACGGUACCUAACCAGAAAGCCACGGCUAAAUACGUGCCAGCAGCCGCGGUAAUACGUAUGUCGCGAGCGUUAUCCGGAAUUAUUGGGCAUAAAGGGCAUCUAGGCGGCCUUUCAAGUCAGGGGUGAAAACCUGCGGCUCAACCGCAGGCCUGCCUUUGAAACUGAUAGGCUGGAGUACCGGAGAGGUGGACGGAACUGCACGAGUAGAGGUGAAAUUCGUAGAUAUGUGCAGGAAUGCCGAUGAUGAAGAUAGUUCACUGGACGGUAACUGACGCUGAAGUGCGAAAGCCGGGGGAGCGAACAGGAUUAGAUACCCUGGUAGUCCCGGCCGUAAAC